CAGCCGCCGCGGGAAUACGAAGGGGGCUAGCGUUGCUCGGAAUGACUGGGCGUAAAGGGCGUGUAGGCGGUUUUGACAGUCAGAUGUGAAAUUCCUGGGCUUAACCUGGGGGCUGCGUUUGAGACGUUAAGACUAGAGUGUGAGAGAGGGUUGUGGAAUUCCCAGUGUAGAGGUGAAAUUCGUAGAUAUUGGGAAGAACACCGGUGGCGAAGGCGGCAACCUGGCUCAUUACUGACGCUGAGGCGCGAAAGCGUGGGGAGCAAACAGGAUUAGAGACCCCUGUAGUCCCUGUCUCUUAUAC
RNAcentral lists this ribosomal RNA (301 nucleotides) under uncultured bacterium. RNAcentral's name for it is "partial 16S ribosomal RNA". It matches the Rfam family "Bacterial small subunit ribosomal RNA", at positions 509 to 807 of the family's 1533-position model. The record is from RNAcentral.